GACGAACGCUGGCGGCGUGCCUAAUACAUGCAAGUAGAACGCACGGUUUAUACCGUAGCUUGCUACACCAUAGACUGUGAGUUGCCAACGGGUGCGUAUCGCGUAGGUAACCUGCCUGGUAGCGGGGGAUAACUAUUGGCAACGAUAGCUAAUACCGCAUAAUAUUAAUUAUUCCAUGAUAAUUAAUUGAAAGUUGUAAUUUCACCACUACCCAAUGGACCUGCGUUGUAUUAGCUAGUAGGGGAGGUAACGGCUCACCUAGGCGAGGAGACAUAGCCGACCUGAGAGGGGGCGAGGCCAAGCUGGGAUGGGGACACGGCCCAGAACCCUGCGGGAGGCAGCAGUAGGGGAUUUUCGGGAAUGGAAGAAAGGCUGACCGAGCAACGCCGGGUGAGGGAAUAAGGUUGUCGGGUCGUAAAGCUCAGGUGUAAGAGAAGGACGGAAGGGAGAGUUAAAAGUGCACAUUGUGACGGUAGCUGACCAGAAAGCGACGGCUAACUACGUG
This 505-nucleotide ribosomal RNA is filed under the name uncultured bacterium. RNAcentral's name for it is "partial 16S ribosomal RNA". It matches the Rfam family "Bacterial small subunit ribosomal RNA", at positions 28 to 507 of the family's 1533-position model. The record is from RNAcentral.